Molecule: ribosomal RNA, 468 nt
Filed under: uncultured bacterium
Lineage: Bacteria
Description: partial 16S ribosomal RNA
Rfam family: Bacterial small subunit ribosomal RNA
Source: RNAcentral
GACGAACGCUGGCGGCGUGCUUAACACAUGCAAGUCGAACGGAAAGGCCCUGCUUUUGUGGGGUUCUCGAGUGGCGAACGGGUGAGUAACACGUGAGUAACCUGCCCUUGACUUUGGGAUAACUUCAGGAAACUGGGGCUAAUACCGGAUAGGAGCUCCUGCUGCAUGGUGGUGGUUGGAAAGUUUCGGCGGUUUGGGAUGGACUCGCGGCUUAUCAGCUUGUUGGUGGGGUAGUGGCUUACCAAGGCUUUGACGGGUAGCCGGCCUGAGAGGGUGACCGGCCACAUUGGGACUGAGAUACGGCCCAGACUCCUACGGGAGGCAGCAGUGGGGAAUAUUGCACAAUGGGCGGAAGCCUGAUGCAGCAACGCCGCGUGCGGGAUGACGGCCUUCGGGUUGUAAACCGCUUUCGCCUGUGACGAAGCGUGAGUGACGGUAAUGGGUAAAGAAGCACCGGCUAACUACGUG